CUGUAAGCCGUUGAAGGUGUGCUGUGAGGCAUGCUGGAGGUAUCAGAAGUGCGAAUGCUGACAUAAGUAACGAUAAAGCGGGUGAAAAGCCCGCUCGCCGGAAGACCAAGGGUUCCUGUCCAACGUUAAUCGGGGCAGGGUGAGUCGACCCCUAAGGCGAGGCCGAAAGGCGUAGUCGAUGGGAAACAGGUUAAUAUUCCUGUACUUGGUGUUACUGCGAAGGGGGGACGGAGAAGGCUAUGUCAGCCGGGCGACGGUUGUCCCGGUUUAAGCAUGUAGGCGGAGGUUCCAGGUAAAUCCGGUACCUUGUUAACGCUGAGGUGUGAUGACGAGGCACUACGGUGCUGAAGUGAUAAAUGCCCUGCUUCCAGGAAAAGCCUCUAAGCAUCAGGUAACACGAAAUCGUACCCCAAACCGACACAGGUGGUCAGGUAGAGAAUACCAAGGCGCUUGAGAGAACUCGGGUGAAGGAACUAGGCAAAAUGGUGCCGUAACUUCGGGAGAAGGCACGCUGAUAUGUAGGUGAAGUCCCUGCGGACGGAGCUGAAAUCAGUCGAAGAUACCAGCUGGCUGCAACUGUUUAUUAAAAACACAGCACUGUGCAAACACGAAAGUGGACGUAUACGGUGUGACGCCUGCCCGGUGCCGGAAGGUUAAUUGAUGGGGUUAGCGGCAACGCGAAGCUCUUGAUCGAAGCCCCGGUAAACGGCGGCCGUAACUAUAACGGUCCUAAGGUAGCGAAAUUCCUUGUCGGGUAAGUUCCGACCUGCACGAAUGGCGUAAUGAUGGCCAGGCUGUCUCCACCCGAGACUCAGUGAAAUUGAACUCGCUGUGAAGAUGCAGUGUACCCGCGGCAAGACGGAAAGACCCCGUGAACCUUUACUAUAGCUUGACACUGAACACUGGUCCUUGAUGUGUAGGAUAGGUGGGAGGCUUUGAAGCGUGGACGCCAGUCUGCGUGGAGCCAUCCUUGAAAUACCACCCUUUAAUGGCUGGUGUUCUAACGUAGACCCGUGAUCCGGGUUGCGGACAGUGUCUGGUGGGUAGUUUGACUGGGGCGGUCUCCUCCCAAAGAGUAACGGAGGAGCACGAAGGUUGGCUAAUCCUGGUCGGACAUCAGGAGGUUAGUGCAAUGGCAUAAGCCAGCUUGACUGCGAGCGUGACGGCGCGAGCAGGUGCGAAAGCAGGUCAUAGUGAUCCGGUGGUUCUGAAUGGAAGGGCCAUCGCUCAACGGAUAAAAGGUACUCCGGGGAUAACAGGCUGAUACCGCCCAAGAGUUCAUAUCGACGGCGGUGUUUGGCACCUCGAUGUCGGCUCAUCACAUCCUGGGGCUGAAGUAGGUCCCAAGGGUAUGGCUGUUCGCCAUUUAAAGUGGUACGCGAGCUGGGUUUAGAACGUCGUGAGACAGUUCGGUCCCUAUCUGCCGUGGGCGCUGGAGAAUUGAGGGGGGCUGCUCCUAGUACGAGAGGACCGGAGUGGACGCAUCACUGGUGUUCGGGUUGUCAUGCCAAUGGCACUGCCCGGUAGCUAAAUGCGGAAGAGAUAAGUGCUGAAAGCAUCUAAGCACGAAACUUGCCCCGAGAUGAGUUCUCCCUGAGACUUU
This 1603-nucleotide ribosomal RNA is filed under the name Enterobacter hormaechei. RNAcentral describes it as "partial 23S ribosomal RNA". It matches the Rfam family "Bacterial large subunit ribosomal RNA", at positions 1241 to 2824 of the family's 2925-position model. The record is from RNAcentral. Lineage: Bacteria; Pseudomonadati; Pseudomonadota; Gammaproteobacteria; Enterobacterales; Enterobacteriaceae.